GAUGAACGCUGACAGAAUGCUUAACACAUGCAAGUCGAUGGGGAAGUGGUGCUUGCACCAUGGCAACCAUGGCGGACGGGCGAGUAACGCGUAAGGGACUUACCUGCAGGACUGGGAUAACAGGGGGAAACUCCUGACAAGACCGGAUAAUGUCAUGGAGCUGCAUGGCUUUAUGAUGAAAGGAGACGCCUGCGGAGAGCCUUGCGUCCUAUUAGCUAGUUGGUGAGGUAAUGGCUCACCAAGGCGAAGAUAGGUAGCCGGCCUGAGAGGGUGGACGGCCACAAGGGGACUGAGAUACGGCCCUUACUCCUACGGGAGGCAGCAGUGGGGAAUAUUGGACAAUGGGGGCAACCCUGAUCCAGCAAUUCUGUGUGCACGAAGAAGGUUUUCGGAUUGUAAAGUGCUUUCAGCAGGGAAGAAGUAAGUGACGGUACCUGCAGAAGAAGCGACGGCUAAAUACGUG
RNAcentral lists this ribosomal RNA (463 nucleotides) under uncultured bacterium. Its description in RNAcentral is "partial 16S ribosomal RNA". It matches the Rfam family "Bacterial small subunit ribosomal RNA", at positions 28 to 507 of the family's 1533-position model. The record is from RNAcentral.